AUGUACAUUCCUACAAUGUAGUGUUAAUGCACUAGAUUCCAUUAUAAAUCUACAGUUAAUCACGCUCAUGCUAGAGUAGUAUUGGGUUGGGUGACCACCAAGGAAGUCUUAGUGUUUUACAUG
Molecule: non-coding RNA, 123 nt
Organism: Picea glauca (white spruce)
Lineage: Eukaryota; Viridiplantae; Streptophyta; Pinopsida; Pinales; Pinaceae
Source: Rfam